CUGUGUGUAGGGAAGUCUGGUCAUCCCACUUCACUUGGAAUGAAGAGAUCGCAGGUUCAAAUCCUGCCACGCAGACCA
This 78-nucleotide transfer RNA is filed under the name Hyphomicrobiaceae bacterium TMED74. Its description in RNAcentral is "tRNA-Pro". It matches the Rfam family "tRNA". Rfam says of the family: Transfer RNA (tRNA) molecules are approximately 80 nucleotides in length. Their secondary structure includes four short double-helical elements and three loops (D, anti-codon, and T loops). RNAcentral also lists the same sequence under 1 other name. Lineage: Bacteria; Pseudomonadati; Pseudomonadota; Alphaproteobacteria; Hyphomicrobiales; Hyphomicrobiaceae. The record is from RNAcentral.